RNAcentral lists this ribosomal RNA (325 nucleotides) under uncultured eukaryote. Its description in RNAcentral is "partial 18S ribosomal RNA". It matches the Rfam family "Eukaryotic small subunit ribosomal RNA", at positions 1470 to 1796 of the family's 1831-position model. The record is from RNAcentral.
CCCUUAGAUGUUCUGGGCCGCACGCGCGCUACACUGAUGCAUUCAACGAGCCUAUCCUUGACCGACAGGUCCGGGUAAUCUUUGAAUCUGCAUCGUGACGGGGAUAGAUUAUUGCAAUUAUUAAUCUUCAACGAGGAAUGCCUAGUAGGCGCAAGUCAUCAGCUUGCGUCGAUUACGUCCCUGCCCUUUGUACACACCGCCCGUCGCUCCUACCGAUUGGGUGUGCUGGUGAAAUGUUCGGAUCGGCCGUUUGUCGCGGUUUCCGCGUCAUGUGGCUGAGAAGUUCAUUAAACCCUCCCACCUAGAGGAAGGAGCAGUCGUAACA